Long non-coding RNA from Mandrillus leucophaeus (drill), 577 nucleotides. RefSeq lists it as uncharacterized. The record is from RefSeq and is a predicted model, not a curated record. The transcript has 5 exons. NCBI's taxonomy places the organism in Eukaryota, Metazoa, Chordata, Mammalia, Primates, Cercopithecidae.
AGUUUCCGGUAGACCCGGAAGCCGAUCGCAUGGAGGAACUGUUUCGUAGCAGCGCGCCUCCCUUUCCCAGCCACUGGUUCUCCUGACCCCGAAUGUGGGGAGUGACUUCAGUCUCCUGACAUCCAGUGUUCUCUCGAGCCAGCUUCCAGCCCACCGAAAAUGAGCUUUUCCGGAGAUGGGCAUCUUAUUCCAAUCCCCUCCCUGUGAAUGUGUGGAGAAGAAGAGAUGGGAACGAGUCAGAGGAAAUAGAGAAAUUUUGAAAGAGAAAUGAAGAAUGAGAGAACCAUUGACAGACGGCAAAGUAGAAGGUUCACAAAUUUUAAGAAAGGGAGAAUAAAGUGGAGAAAUCUCAGAGGGAAUCCACUCAACAGAUGAGGAUUCACUUCCAAAGAGACAUAUUAUGCAAGGAAGCAACUCGGAAAACGAAAGAGAAGGAGUCAGGAAUGGCCCUUACUCAGAGUCUUGCUUUGUUGCCCAGACUGGAGUGCAGUGGCAUGAUCCCUGCUCAUUGCAACCUCCGCCUCCCAGGUUCAAAGGUUUCUUCCACCUCAGCCUCUCGUGUAGCUGGGAUUACAGG